UUGCGUACAAUCAGGAAUUUCAUUUAUGAAAUGGUUCAAAAUCCCAGGGGGAAAUUGCCAAGGAGGGCAAUUUCAGGAAACAUAAGGCAUGGAUGCCUUUUGUUUCCGCCCCGGCCCGUUUCCACAACAACCACCCAUUUCAUUAAUGAAAUCUGAUUGGAAGCCC
This is a regulatory RNA element of Lachnospiraceae bacterium 28-4, 166 nucleotides long. The record is from Rfam. Lineage: Bacteria; Bacillati; Bacillota; Clostridia; Lachnospirales; Lachnospiraceae.